Molecule: transfer RNA, 77 nt
Filed under: Candidatus Peribacter riflensis
Lineage: Bacteria; Candidatus Peregrinibacteriota; Candidatus Peribacteria; Candidatus Peribacterales
Also listed under: 2 other names
Description: tRNA-Ile
Rfam family: tRNA
About the family: Transfer RNA (tRNA) molecules are approximately 80 nucleotides in length. Their secondary structure includes four short double-helical elements and three loops (D, anti-codon, and T loops). Further hydrogen bonds mediate the characteristic L-shaped molecular structure. tRNAs have two regions of fundamental functional importance: the anti-codon, which is responsible for specific mRNA codon recognition, and the 3' end, to which the tRNAs corresponding amino acid is attached (by aminoacyl-tRNA synthetases). tRNAs cope with the degeneracy of the genetic code in two manners: having more than one tRNA (with a specific anti-codon) for a particular amino acid; and 'wobble' base-pairing, i.e. permitting non-standard base-pairing at the 3rd anti-codon position.
Source: RNAcentral
GGGCGAGUAGCUCAGUCGGUUAGAGCACGGGACUUAUAAGCCCGCGGUCGGUGGUUCAAAUCCACCCUCGCCCACCA